This 538-nucleotide ribosomal RNA is filed under the name Physalia physalis. RNAcentral's name for it is "partial 16S ribosomal RNA". It matches the Rfam family "Bacterial large subunit ribosomal RNA", at positions 1809 to 2530 of the family's 2925-position model. The record is from RNAcentral. Lineage: Eukaryota; Metazoa; Cnidaria; Hydrozoa; Siphonophorae; Physaliidae.
AAAAACAUAGCUUUUAUAUAAACUCAAAGUGAUACCUGCCCAGUGGUUUGUAAUUUAAGGCAUUAACCUUGCUUUUAUUAAACUAAACGGACGCGGUAACCUGACCGUGGUAAUGUAGCAUAAUCAGUCGCCAUUUAAUUGUUGGAUAGUAUGAAUGGUUUAACGAGCAUCUCACUGUCUUGAAGGGAAACCCUAUGAAAUUGGAAUCGUAGUUAAGAUACUACUUAGAAUUGUAAGACGAAAAGACCCUAUAGAGCUUAACUAAAGCAUCUUUGUAUAGUAUAAAUUAAUAAAUUUUGUUAAGAUGGAUGUUGUUAGUUUGGUUGGGGCGACCACCUUCUACAUCAAACGAAGGUACUCAAAGUUAAUAUUAAAAUUUAUUGUAUAACUCAUAAGUUUAACAAUUACUAAAGUAGGUUAUAAUGACCCGUUGCGUGUGUGAAAAAACCCCAACGAUAAAUAGAUAAAAGCUACCUUAGGGAUAACAGGAUAAUUUAAUCUUAGAGACCUUAUCGAAGCUUAAGUUUGUCACCUCGAU